RNAcentral lists this ribosomal RNA (460 nucleotides) under uncultured bacterium. Its description in RNAcentral is "partial 16S ribosomal RNA". It matches the Rfam family "Bacterial small subunit ribosomal RNA", at positions 338 to 795 of the family's 1533-position model. The record is from RNAcentral.
CCUACGGGAGGCAGCAGUGAGGAAUAUUGGUCAAUGGACGCAAGUCUGAACCAGCCAUGCCGCGUGCAGGAAGACGGCUCUAUGAGUUGUAAACUGCUUUUGUACGAGGGUAAACGCAGAUACGCGUAUCUGUCUGAAAGUAUCGUACGAAUAAGGAUCGGCUAACUCCGUGCCAGCAGCCGCGGUAAUACGGAGGAUUCAAGCGUUAUCCGGAUUUAUUGGGUUUAAAGGGUGCGUAGGCGGUCGGAUAAGUUAGAGGUGAAAUCCCGAGGCUCAACUUCGGAAUUGCCUCUGAUACUGUUCGGCGAGAGAGUAGUUGCGGUAGGCGGAAUGUAUGGUGUAGCGGUGAAAUGCUUAGAGAUCAUACAGAACACCGAUUGCGAAGGCAGCUUACCAAGCUACUUCUGACGUUGAGGCACGAAGGCGUGGGGAGCAAACAGGAUUAGAUACCCUAGUAGUC